This is a long non-coding RNA of Mya arenaria, 9809 nucleotides long. RefSeq lists it as uncharacterized. Lineage: Eukaryota; Metazoa; Mollusca; Bivalvia; Myida; Myidae. The transcript is spliced from 2 exons. The record is from RefSeq and is a predicted model, not a curated record.
AUGGCGGCGAUUAUGCGGAAAUGAAAUUGAAUGUUACUUCGAACACGUUCCUCUACAAAAUAACCGACCUGUAUUUAGUGUUAUUGCUUCAACCUCAAUCAAAAAAAAAUGGCAUCAAUGUAUGCGUCUAAAAAUGUUAAAUUUAGAUGGAAACAAUCCAGAAAUGAGCUGCCAGGAAGUGAUCGAUUUCGGACACGAAGGUACAUUAGUCUGAAAUAAUAGACGUGUUUUACGGGAUUCUUCCAAUCCCUAACGUCUAAACGGGUUUGUGCAAAAAGCGGGAGUGUUUGGAAAAUAUUGAAAUUGUAUUAAAUGAAGUAGUUUAUGGUUGAAAUAGAUAAUUAAGGUUUAUAUUCAUAUUUUACCAUGGAAGUGCAAAGCUAUUUUGCCAAAAAAGCAUUUAAUGCAUUAAAACACAGUUUUUACCAUUCCAUUGAAAGGAAAGUUGACUGACACAGACAACAAUUAUGCCAAGCGGAACAACUUGACCCAAUCGUUAUAACUCGGCCACCGACAAGCUUCGAGAUAAUACAAUCAUAACAACUUGGCCAUGGCCGAACAAUGGGAACACCUAGGCCAGUAUCCAACAGGAAUUGACUAUCUCGAAGCUUACAGAAGAUGGCGAGUUGUUACAAUUGAUGGCCGAAAUGUUCCGAUUGUUGUAAAAUUGUGAACUGCAGCCUUGCAGGUGCCCUUCAUGUAUAUAUUGUUAUGUUUUGACAGAAUGAAAUGAAGAAAAAACCAUCAAACUCAUAAUUAUUUGCUGGAUAUUACUUUUUGGUUACGGAAUUUAUUUAAAAUAACAUUAUCUGGUAAUAUUUCUUGUUUUUAUGAAAUGUUAUAGACGCAAUAUGCUUUAACCCCGGAAUCCCGAUUGGAAUAACUACCCACUUGUCGUACAAAACAAUUUGUACAUGAAGGAUUUGUUGUGUCAAUAAUCGUUAAAAAAAUCUGUCAACGUACAAUUAUUUGGACUAGAAGGUACAUCUAGCUGAUCCACAUCUCUUAGUCUAAAUAUUUGUAUAUUGACAGACUCUUUUUACGAUUCCAAAAAAAUAUAUACAUAUAUUUACAUUAUAUAAAUAUGGCAAAUCCUUCAUUACAACAUCUUCAUGUUACUUUCAAUUCAGAGUUGAUUAUUCACUAAAAUUAUUUUGCAUUUUUAAUUGUUGUUUAACCUGAAACGUCUCAACCAUCAAAAAAGAACAUAUGUGCUUCAAUAGUCUAAAAAAAUAGAUGUGUUAUAUGGGAUUCUUACAAUCCCUUACGUCUUAUCGGGUUUGUGCAAAACAGGUGGGGGGGGUUGAAAGAUAUUGAAAUCGUAGUUAGGUAAGUAUUAUAUGUUUGAAAUAGAUAUUAAAGGUUUAUAUUCGUAUUUUAGUUAUAACCAUGUAAGUGCAAAUAUUUUUUUCACAAAACAAGCAUUUAAUGCAUUUGAAACACAACCAUUUUACCAAGCAUAGCAACUGGACCAUCUCAGGUUAACUUCGAGAUAGACCAUUCACCUUUUGUAUAUAUAAUUUUAACAACUUGACCAUGGCCAAAAGGCUCUGAUUGUUGUAAAUCUAUGUACCACAGCCUUGCAGGUGCUCUUCAUGUACAGUACACUCAACGAGUUAGACCCACUUUCCUCGCUCACUCCGAGGGAUAAAGUCGAUGAUUGCGGGUUUCCUCCGAGGGUAAAACUGUUGCCCUUGCUAAAAUCCCCCCCGAGUUCCUCCGAGUGGCUGGCUUACCGCCGAGUUUAAUAUGAACGAUAGCGUUGAGAAUCGUCCGAUUUUAUGAUCAUGUGGCGGAACUCCGAGUCUAAUCAGAUAAGCAAGAAAUCACUCUUGUUUAGAAGUUAUUUAUUUUUAUGCUUAUGCACAUUGUAAAGCGUAAAAGAUACUUACAUGUACCAACGUUUAAUUUGUGUAAAUUGGCACUAAUUGAUUACCCCCUUUGUGGCCCCAAUUAGGCACAAGCUUUGUGACAACACAAAUUUUAAUAUUGUAAAGUUAGUAGACCUUGACCCCUAGUUUAAUAAAAUGUAAGUAUUAUUUCCGUUACAUUUCGAUCUACCGAGAAAAUCUUCAAAAACAUGCAAAAACUGCCGGCUACUGCUCUCCAACCAGUACAUGUGUCGAUUUUUUUUAUCAAGUGUCCCGAUAUCUGUAAAUCUGGGACAAAUCUGACAGGUUGUGUACAUGUAUAACGGUAUUAGUGACCAAGAAUAUAUUUAUGUGAAAAUAACGACUCUAAUGACAAAUUAAAUCCAGUUUAGAUCACUGUCGGGUAUAUAUUGAACAACUUUGUCAUUAUUAUUCAACAUCGAUGCAUAAUAUAACUAUUUAUUCUUUCGCUCAGUGUAAUUAUUCUUUCGCUCAGUGUUAAAUGGCAGAGAGUUGUAGCGUUAUAGGGAUACGUAAGAAAUGUCAAAAUAAUAAUAAAAAAGAAUCGUUGAUUGCUCAUUAUUGUAGCUAGUCAAAAAGUAUUUUUAAAAUAUCCAGAGCAGCCAGAAGGUAAGCGAAAGCUCUAUUGGUCACAGUUGGUUCUGAAAACAGUGCAGCUAGUAAUGGGCUAUUUAAAAAAAAACGGUUAGAAAAGUUGAAAAAUGGUCUAAAUUUAAAUCAUCAUUAAAUACAAGGCUGUAUGCCUAGUUUUGAUGAACAAUCUUUGUAGUGUACAAAAUAGGUUUUGUAUAGAGAAAACAACUCAUAUUUACAUUUUUAUCAAACUUUUAUCUAACUAAACAUGGAUAAAAACACACAAUACAUGAACACUUUCAAUGUCAUUUUUUCUUGAAAUAAACUGAGUUAACAUGUCUACCAAUUAUUCUUUUAGUAGCUCUUAUGGCAGCAUACAUUAAUAGAAUGUUGAAUUUACUCAGUCGCUCAAAAUUUCUGAAGAAUUUGAUUUUUGUACUUUUUUUACCGAUGAAAUGUAAUAUUCAAAGGUAUUUUUUUUAUUUUCUAUUUAAAUUGUGCAAUUAAACUAAAAAAAAUACAUUUUCAUAGAAUUCAAACAAUAACAAGUAACAUUAACAAAGACAUCAUAGGAGGCAUUAUGAUUUCACGCAGCAAAAAUAAAAACAGGAACAAUAUUUUAAGAAAUUGUUACACUCCUGACAUAUGUAGAUUACAACCAUUAAAUAGAUUUCACUUAAAAUUUCUCGGUGUAAAUCAAAAGACAUGCAAUUACAAAGUAAUUGAUAGCCAGUGAAACAUUAUAAAACAAAUUUAGCAUUGACACAUUGCGAUUUUACAUAAUUUGAGAAAGGUUUUUCAAAACCAUACAAAAAGUCUACUGUUACUUAAUUCUUGCUCAACUUGUAAAAAAUUGCAAAACUCUUGAAAUAACAGUAAAGCACUACAACAGUUACACUUUUAUUUCAUUUAACUAAGUGUAUUCAGUGUAAGUAACUAAAUACAACUGAUUCAAAUUGUUACACUCCUGACAAAAUAUUUCAAGUUCAAGUUAUUAUGUAUCAAAUUUCAAUUUUAACCCCAAACUGAGACAUAAGUGUUGGCAGUGAUAGUUUUCUUAGUAUAUCAUGCUUGGAAUGUCCAUGAUAUAUCAUCUGCAUUUGAUUAUGUGUACAUCCCAUUGAAGGUAGCUCACUGCAUUAAUCUAAUCUAAAUAUCUGAGCCAUCCACUUUUAAGACAUAUUCAUCAGAAAGUCAUAUUUCACAACAUGUUCAUAAAAUAUCUGUCCUAUCAUAUAUGAUGAUUAAUAUAACUGGUAAUAAUAUAAAUUUAUUGCACAUCUACUGUUGAAUAUUUAUUUUACCUUUAAGUCAGACUUAUACUAAUACAGUGGCAUUGACAUUCGCAACACUUUAAAUAUAUUGUGGCCACAACUUAGUAAACGGUGUCACCAACUUAGUAACUUGAGGCCAAAACUUAGUAACUUAAUUGAGGCUGCAACUUAUAAAAAUGUGGCAACAAUUAGUUACUUGUGACCACAACUAAGUAACUACCAUUAAUUAUUUUGUUGUGGCCACGAUUUAAUAAGUCAUGGCCACACGUUACUAAGUUGUGCCCUCAAGUAACUAAGUUGUGGCCACAAUAUAAAUAAAGUGAUGUCAUCUCUGUGUCACUGUAGAGACUUCUUUCUGCAUUAACUGUCAAAUUAUCAGCCACAAAAUUAUCCGGUACAAAUUGAAAGUAAUGGCUCAUACAGAUUAUGAAUAGAGUCCACACCCCAGUUCUCACAGUCCCAGGUAUAGGGUCAAAAGGACAUUGUCAUAUUGAUAUGUCAGACAGAUCUCUAUGGUCUGUUAAUUUACCUGGGCUGCCUUUUUCGACACAUUUAUAAAAAUCAGCUGUUCUAGACAUCAGUUUUGAACUUUGCAAAUGGCGUUUAGGUACUGGUACAUGACUUCCAUUUAUAUGCAUGGUGUCUUUUUUGUUGGGCAUGAUUCUUGAAUUCCUUUCAAGGUGUACAGCUUAUCUUCCCAAGCUGCUGGUUUUGACAGUGUACUUUUCAAUUGAGUAUCUUUCCUCUUCUUGUAUCUAUUUAAACAUGACAUUCUUCUGGCCAGACUAAUUUUCUUGUUUGCAGAUGCCAACUUACUUUUGACAUUUUUGUUCUCAUACUUUUGGAUGGCCAACUUUGCUUACUUCAAGUGUUUACUCCACAACUUCAUCUUUGUCAACCAGCUUUGAUCAUCUGUUAGCAGUUGCCUAAUUCGAUAAGUCUUGACCCAAGCUCUGGGGUUUUCUAAAAGAUUCUUCAUAACUUGGCUAUUUUUCUGAUUUUUGCUUGCUUCUUGUGUUUUCUGUGUUUUCUUUUUUCAUUUUCAUUUUUUAAAAGUUAAUAUUGUCAUUUUUAAGAUUUUCUCCGUAUUUCCUAAUUCUUUCCUCUGAUGUUCUUUUAAUGACUUUCUUCCUCGUAUUUAAACUUUUCUUGUUUCUUAUUGCCCCUUUAAAACCUGGAAGCCUACAAUUAAUUUGUCCCUAUUUCCUAUGAUAUUUCCUCUGUAAAAGAAUUAUAUUCACACUCAUAACCAAUAUUUGGUCAGGAGUGUAACAUUGAAGGACAUGUCAACAGUCAUGCUGUAAAUUAAAGUCACAUAGUUUUAAAUGAAUUAAAUUAUAGAACAGGGUCAUCAGUUUGCCUCAUUGUAGCAAAAAAAUACCAUUUGUUGAUUGAAGGUCACUGUAUGAUUUUUCUAUUAGAUGCAUAGUAAUUAAGUUGUUUUAAAUUCAAACAUUUUUGAUAACAUUUUUAAGCAUGGAAUUGGUUUAAACUUACCCUAUUUACAUCAGAUUGAAAAUGAAUCCUUCACUUCUCUUUUGAAAUCUUAACAUUUGUAGAAUUAUACUGUAAUACUUCUGAAAAUGACGAUAUAAUAAUAUGCCAAGCCAAAAAUUCGCAAAAAAAUGUUACACUCCUGAUGGGCACGUAUCAUCUAAAUGCUCAGUAACCAUCCAUUAUUUUCAGUCAUGAUAAUUUCUUAUGAUCACUCCCAAGACAUAGACUUCCAGGAAACACCCUAAUUAGUACAUUUGUUAACUGUUCGCCAACACUGUGUUUCAUUUUAUACCAAAUGUUACACUCCUGACAUUUUUAGGCCAGCUUCUUUCUAGAAAGCUAAACAUCAAAAAGAGUAAUAACACACACAAAAUAUUGUACACAUGGAAUAAUGAUAUAUUAUCCUAAACUUUAAAUAAAUAAAUUGUAAGUUAUAUGAUAAUUCAUCAGAGCUUUACUUUAAAAAGAGUUUGUUUUUUUUAAAAUGUGGAAAAAUUCCUAACACACAUUAUCAUUAUCAGUAAUAUUUUAUGCAUAAAUAAUGGAAUAUUGCUUAAAUUUUUAUAUUACCUUGAGGUCAACAUAUGUGUUUUUUUUUGUUAAUAAGGUUAUCACAUUGUCAUUUGCCAAUGUUGUUUACAGUAAUGCUUUUAAUUGAGUCCUUUUUGUAAAGUGUCACGUUUUUUUGUUACACUCCUGAAAAUUUUGGCAUGUGUUUUGUGCAUAACUUUUUUUCCGCUGAAGCUAAUUUAGUCAAACUUCCCAGACUUUUAGAUGACACAGAAAUACAAGAUAAGAAGAAGAAAUGAUGAUAAUUUGUAUAUUAUUCAUUUUAUUUAGGAUAUACUCAAACUAGCCAUUUUUUUUUUAAAUAGCCCUAAUGGGACUUGGACUGGGGACUCCCUGUUUGCAAGUGUGUGCUUUAUCAACUUGGCUCAAAGGCCAUUAGAACUUAAAAUAACUUGAAGCUUGCAGUUGAAUUGUUCAACCAGCUCUACAAACUGUUCCUGAUAACUUAAUUUGCAAACAAUCUGACCUGUGUGGGUUAGUACUGGGACACACUCAUGAACCGUAUAAUAUUAGUACGGUAAACCUGGGUGCAAAAGUGGGACAGGUUCAGAUCUUGAACCCCACGACUGAUGAAUACUUGAGCUCAAGCAAUGGCUUUAUUAAAACAGAAAUCACCUUGCAUUUAAAGAAAAAUGUCAACCAUAUUUUAAGCUUCAGAAAGAAAACAGCCUGUUUAUAAAUAAAUAUAUUAUUCAUUUUUAGCUCUACUGGCCAAAGGCCAGAAGAGCUUAUGCGAUGGUAAUGUGUACGUAGUAUGUGCGUCCGUGCGGUCGUGCGUCUGUAAACAAUUGCUUGUGAACACGAUACAGUCUUCAGUUUUGAUUGUAUCUCGAUGAAACUUGUACAGUAUUUAGAUAUCCAUUAGAGCUGGGUUCCUUUCGAAAACCAGCCAGAUCUGCCCAUGAAUGCCUAGAUUAUGGGCCAUGAAAGUUUUAAAGAAAUGCUCUCUAUUUUUAGCCAGGUCUGCAUGAGCGAAUUCUAUUUUUAGCCAAGUUUACAUGUACAUGUAAAUUCAAGUGUAGAGUUAAGGGAGACAAUUUGCAAGUCUAGGAUUUUGAGAGACAAUUUGCUUUUUGCUUCUGCAGCUGAUUUUGUGAAUUACUCUGCCUUGUUCUUGUUGAAAGCCCAAAGGCCAUUUUUUAGCUUUAAGUUCUGUAGUUACCAUAUGCGCAUUCAUCUUAGCAAAAUUGGUUGUGAAUGUUUAAGUCAUGCACCUGGUGUCAUUACUGGCCACACCCAGGGUUCACAGGUUUGGUAAACAUAAAUCUGGAAAGGUUUAAAAAUCUUUUUGUGUGUUCGUGGAUCCAUCUCAGCACAAUUGAUUGUGAAUGUUUGUUCAAAUUGAUCAAUGUUGUCCUAGGAUGCCCUUGACUUUGACCUUUUGACCAACUUUUUUAACUUUUAAAACUACAGAAAUUUUUACUAUGAGUACAGUUUUGAAAGCAUUUUAUUUUUGUCAGAUGACUUUUACUUGGCACAUAUUAAAAUAGUUCAUGCAACUAAUCUGCUUACAAUACUUUCUGGGCUCAGAUGUUGAACGUGCUACGUUUUCAGGUAAGCCAAACACAAAACAUAAACCAUAUGUCUGUUGCCUUUUACCCAUACAUACAUGCUCUGGAUUGAUAUGACCACAAAAGCCAUGCCAGUAGAGCAUAGGCCCUUUUGGGCCUCUUGUUUAUUUCAGAUCUUGACAUGGAUCCAAGAUGCUGGUAACUAGGCGGGACGGAUUGUUUCACAGAACUGCAGGUUUCUGGAUGGAGACUCAGCGCCAUGUCACAAAUACUUCAGAACCUAGAAUGAAAGUUACCGAAAGAGCAAUAGACUUUCCAAUCUCUACAAAAUUCAUCUUAACUGUUCUUCAAGGUGAUACUUGAGACUACCAAAGACUUUUCAAGGACAGAACUCACAAAACAGUUUAUGCCACCAUCUCAUAUCAAAGGAUUGUGCUUGAGUUGAACAGCCUUCAAACAGAAACUGUUUCAACACCUUCAAUGGAUUCAAUGGAUUCAUUCUGAUUCAGUUUACUCUUGCUGUGAUCUGAGCAACUAUUUACAUCAGUUCAACAUUGUAAAUUGUUUAAACUUGAAAAUUCUGUCUUCUUGCAACUCACAUGAAUCUAUUUACUGUGGACUUUGAUGUUGACUCUAUACAGGAAGAAGAGACCAUCUUUAUACAUGCUGGCAUAUCAUUUAAAAAGGAAACAAAUUUUAUAACCAACAUACUGCACUGUUAUGUCAUCCAAGGACUCAGCUACUGACUCAAGGAAAAAAUGUCUCUGUCAAUGUAAUUACUGUUGUGCAUAAUAAGACAUUUUUUAUUAUGCCCCCUUCGAAGAAGAGGGGUAUAUUGCUUUGCAUAGGUCGGUCGGUUCCGUGAUCUUGAAAGCAAACUCGACAAUUCCUGGACCAAUGGUCAUCAAACUUGACAUAAAGGUUGGGCCUGACCAGUAGAUGACCCCUCUUAUCUUUGAGGGUCAUUGAGCCAAGGUCAAGGUCACAAUAACCUUUAAUGCAAAAAAGAUAACAAAUCUUCUCCCAGUGAUAUCAUAACAAUGCCUGAACCUAUGAUCAUCAAACUUGACAUGGAAGUUGGGCCUGACAAGGAGAUGACGCUUAUUGAUUUUAGGAGUCAUUGGGUUAAAGAUCAGGUUCACAGUGACCUUGAAUGUGAAAAUGUUUCGAGCGAUAACUUGACAAUGCCUGUACCCAUGGCCCUCAAACCUGACUUGGAGUUGUGUCUGACCUGUAGAUGACCCCUUUUCAUUUUGGGGGUCAUCGGGUCAAACGUCAAGGUCACAGUGACAUUGAUUGAAAAAAGCUUGUCUGUGUGAUAACUUGUCAAUGCCUGAAUCCAUGUCCCUCAAACUUGACAUUUAGAUUUUAGUAGACCAACUCAUAUGGAUUUUGAGGUCAUAGAGUCAAAGGUCAUGGUCAUAACACACUCUUUUCUCACAUUGGUCUUAAUCUUAAAACUGCCUCAACGGUAUCCAAUGUCAGUGACUAAUCAGCUGUCAUUUCGGUCCAUGCUUAUUUCAUUCAAUUGUUCAUAUAAUCCUGACAACAUGGCGCUCAGGUGGGGGAAUAAUGUUUGACAAACAUCUCUUGUUGAUACUUGGCUCAUUUCUUACAUGUAGCUGUAACAUUUUGGGCAACUUCUCAAUUAUUUUGUUUAAGACAUUUUUCACCCAGCUUAUCUAAGCCUAAAUUAGUGUUCAUGUUAACUUUUAUGACUGCCUGUUUAUUGUACUUUUUAUAAAUUAUUUUCAAUUAUUUUCAAUGACUUUUUCUCAAGAACCAUUUGGCUAAGUAUGUCUCCUCCUGAAAUAGACUAAUUCUUUUAGCUGGAGUUGUCUGUCUGUCCCUCUGUAACAAAUUGUGUCUGCUCCAUGUGUUGAAGGAUUUGAUAUAACUUCCCACAAAUAUACACCAUAUUGAGAGGAAGGGUUUAUUAUUAUAACUGUUGAGCAGUUUCUGAACUUGACUCUAUUAUAUCUUGCAUUUACCUCAAGCUGUUAAGUGAACAAUAUAACAUUGACCAAUACAAGGAACUAAACCUUCUAGGUCACCAUUUUGGAAUAAAGUAAUACUUAAAGCUCAUUAUUCCAUAAGAAUCUGCUCAUAUACAGUUUAAAUAGCUUAUACAAGUAUAUCAUUUCAACAUAACAUCAGAUCCUCCACUGUUUUAUGUUUGCAACAUUUUUUUAAAACUUUGAUUUAUAUAUCAUGACUUUUAUGAACAAAUACCAAACAGCAACUCACAAAUCUAUACUCAUUUGGGCAGAAUUUUGUAAAUCCAAGCAUUGUCAUUUGAUAUUCAAUGCUUUUUGGCAAAUUGGGGCAUUUUCUGUCACAUUAAAAUCAAUAUUAACAAUAAAUCUCCAACUUCAAUAUUCUCAUAUUUUUGUGCCCAUUCUUUGCCAAUUAUUUGUAUGUCUAUUGGUAUACAUGUAUGUUUAUUCAUACUGUUUGUCAAAAUAACGAAUGAAUAAAAUGUUUGAAAUAUU